CAAAGAAUAAGUUCUGUUUUAUGCAUUAUAAGCUAAACAUGAUGGUAUAUGUUCGCCAACUGUAAGCUAGAGCAUCAAGCUUUCAAGUUGAUUUCAAGUUGAAUGGUCUCAUAAUGAUGGCAAUCUGUUUUUCAGCCCGUCCAUCGAUGGAAACACUACAAUAGAGGUGGAGCUUGUUUUCAAUAACACAGCAUCACCUGAAGUGACCGUUUCAACUGCCGAUGUACUGGAGACCAUGACGACGGCAGCAACCAACACCUCCGCUGGCGGAUUCUCCUUUGAUCCUGAAUCUAUUGUUGUCACAGAAACGCCAACCUCAACGACAGCACCAACAACAACUACGGCAACUCCAGAACCCUCAGUUCCUACUGUGUCUUUCACGGUAGAGGCUACACUAUCAAAGCCUUUCACUGCAGAGUUAACAAACCAAACGACUGCAGAGUUUCAAGAACUGCAAACAACUGUUGUGACAUCUUGCGAUGCGAUCUUCCAGGAGGCCUAUGGGUCGGUUUUCAUCACCACUCUUGUCCUUGGAUUCAGCCCGUCCAUCGAUGGAAACACUACAAUAGAGGUGGAGCUUGUUUUCAAUAACACAGCAUCACCUGAAGUGACCGUUUCAACUGCCGAUGUACUGGAGACCAUGACGACGGCAGCAACCAACACCUCCGCUGGCGGAUUCUCCUUUGAUCCUGAAUCUAUUGUUGUCACAGGUAUGGUCACAUUUUCCAUAUUUCAUCCAAUGAUAAAGGUAACAGCACUUUGCUCGUAACUAAUAACUUGUUGCUCAAGUAUGUGGCUUUUCCCUGAUUCUUGCGCUUAUGCAUGUACAAAUACAUAGUUACAAGUGACAUGUUCCUUCUCAGAAACGCCAACCUCAACGACAGCACCAACAACAACUACGGCAACUCCAGAACCCUCAGUUCCUACUGUGUCUUUCACGGUAGAGGCUACACUAUCAAAGCCUUUCACUGCAGAGUUAACAAACCAAACGACUGCAGAGUUUCAAGAACUGCAAACAACUGUUGUGACAUCUGUAAGUUGAUAUCAUUUCAAAUUUGAAGUCUUUCACGUUGCCCUCUUUUGCCUCUCGUCCUUCGAUAACCUUG
Molecule: long non-coding RNA, 1106 nt
Organism: Gadus morhua (Atlantic cod)
Lineage: Eukaryota; Metazoa; Chordata; Actinopteri; Gadiformes; Gadidae
Source: Ensembl